RNAcentral lists this ribosomal RNA (253 nucleotides) under uncultured bacterium. Its description in RNAcentral is "partial 16S ribosomal RNA". It matches the Rfam family "Bacterial small subunit ribosomal RNA", at positions 524 to 776 of the family's 1533-position model. The record is from RNAcentral.
UACGUAGGGGGCUAGCGUUGUCCGGAAUCAUUGGGCGUAAAGCGCGUGUAGGCGGCCCGGUAAGUCCGCUGUAAAAGUCGGGGGCUCAACCCUCGAAAGCCGGUGGAUACUGUCGGGCUAGAGUACGGAAGAGGCGAGUGGAAUUCCUGGUGUAGCGGUGAAAUGCGUAGAUAUCGGAAGGAACGCCGGUGGCGAAAGCGACGCGCUGGACCUCUUCUGACGCUGAGGCGCGAAAGCCAGGGGAGCAAACGGG